This 460-nucleotide ribosomal RNA is filed under the name uncultured bacterium. Its description in RNAcentral is "partial 16S ribosomal RNA". It matches the Rfam family "Bacterial small subunit ribosomal RNA", at positions 338 to 795 of the family's 1533-position model. The record is from RNAcentral.
CCUACGGGUGGCAGCAGUGAGGAAUAUUGGUCAAUGGACGCAAGUCUGACCCAGCAAUGCCGCGUGCAGGAAGACGGCUCUCUGAGUUGUAAACUGCUUUUGUACGAAGGUAAAAGCAGAUACGCGUUUCUGUCUGAAAGUAUCGUACGAAUAUGGAUCGGCUAACUCCGUGCCAGCAGCCGCGGUCAUACGGCGGAUUCAAGCGUUAUCCGGAUUUAUUGGGGUUAAAGGGUGCGUAGGCGGUCGGAUAAGUUAGAGGUGAAAUCCCGAGGCUCAACCUCGGAAUUGCCUCUGAUACUGUUCGGCUAGAGAGUAGUAGCGGUAGGCGGAAUGUAUGGUGUAGCGGGGAAAUGCGUAGAGAUCAUGCAGAACACCGAUGGCGAAGGCAGCUUGCCAGGCUACUUCUGACGUUGAGGCACGAAAGCGUGGGGAGCAAACAGGAUUAGAUACCCGGGUAGUC